Molecule: ribosomal RNA, 301 nt
Filed under: uncultured bacterium
Lineage: Bacteria
Description: partial 16S ribosomal RNA
Rfam family: Bacterial small subunit ribosomal RNA
Source: RNAcentral
CAGUAGCCGCGGUAAUACGUAGGGUGCAAGCGUUAAUCGGAAUUACUGGGCGUAAAGCGUGCGCAGGCGGUUUGUUAAGACAGAUGUGAAAUCCCCGGGCUUAACCUGGGAACUGCAUUUGUGACUGGCAAGCUAGAGUCUGGCAGAGGGGGGUGGAAUUCCGCGUGUAGCAGUGAAAUGCGUAGAUAUGCGGAGGAACACCGAUGGCGAAGGCAGCCCCCUGGGCCAACACUGACGCUCAUGCACGAAAGCGUGGGGAGCAAACAGGAUUAGAUACCCGUGUAGUCCCUGUCUCUUAUAC